Small nucleolar RNA from Argentina anserina (silverweed cinquefoil), 94 nucleotides. NCBI's taxonomy places the organism in Eukaryota, Viridiplantae, Streptophyta, Magnoliopsida, Rosales, Rosaceae. The record is from RefSeq and is a predicted model, not a curated record.
AAAUGGAGGAAUGAUGGUAAUGUGUAUCCCAGCUCAAUAUGAGACCUUUCGUGGUCUUGAAAUAGACUUUGUUCACAUAUAUCUGAGCCCAGCG